Molecule: ribosomal RNA, 439 nt
Filed under: uncultured bacterium
Lineage: Bacteria
Description: bacterial SSU rRNA
Rfam family: Bacterial small subunit ribosomal RNA
Source: RNAcentral
GAUGAACGCUGGCGGUAUGCGUAACACAUGCAAGUCGUACGAGAGUUUUUAACUCAAGUGGCGGACGGGUGAGUAACACGUGAGAAUUUGCCUUUAGGAGGGGGAUAACAGAGUGAAAACGCUGCUAAUACCCCAUAUGCUUUCGAGUGAAAUGGAUUUAUUCGCUUAAAGAGAAGCUCGCGGCUGAUUAGCUUGUUGGUAAGGUAAUGGCUUACCAAGGCGACGAUCAGUAUCUGGUUUGAGAGGACGAUCAGACACACUGGAACUGAGACACGGUCCAGACUCCUUCGGGAGGCAGCAGUGGGGAAUUUUCCGCAAUGGGCGAAAGCCUGACGGAGCAAUACCGCGUGAGGGAAGACGGCCUAUGGGUUGUAAACCUCUUUUCUCAGGGAGGAAAUCAAUGACGUUACCUGAGGAAUAAGCAUCGGCUAACUCCGUG